GAAAGCUAGAACUUUCUCCUUUUUAUUUAUUUUUCAAGUUUUUGUUCAUAUUAAUUUUGACUCCUCUGCCCUACCUUCUCUGGGUUUUAGGAGAAUUCAAUUGAUAAGUUCAUUGUUAAUAGUAAGCAGCAAGUGCAUCGGAUGAACGGGGGGUGGCUCGGCACACCUUGAUUUCUUUCUUUCUCAAUCUAACGCUCUCGUGUUUCUUCUUGGGCACACUGAUCAGAGAGCAGGUUUUCCAUGACAUGAUGGUGGCGCCUAAUUUUGCUGGUCGUGUGUGCCGGAUAUCGCGAUGUCAGCAGAUCGGCAUGAAAUGCUGUCGAGAAGGGAGAAGGCCACAAACUUCAAACCAGACUAUGAUAUUGAUAUCCAUAUGAAGGUCUUAGCUAUGAGUGGGCAAGAAUCCAGUAUUCUUACAGGCUACAAACUGAAGUGCUGAUACGGUGGUAGGAAAUGAGAUGAUGAUGGGUAUUUUUGGUGCUUCAUUUGCAUGUCCAGUACCAUAGCUCAUAACCUGCUUGCCUCUAGGAAUGUUGCGAACAACGAUUUCACUGGUUAGAUUCCCAAUUAGCUUAAGAAGAUAAACAAUAUACAGACUGAUGGAAUUCUUGGAGCAAAGGACCAGC
This 626-nucleotide long non-coding RNA is filed under the name Zea mays. RNAcentral describes it as "drought responsive lncRNA". The record is from RNAcentral. Lineage: Eukaryota; Viridiplantae; Streptophyta; Magnoliopsida; Poales; Poaceae.